GAAAACACAUCAACUCUACCUAGAGGAAAGGAAUACAAGCUACACUUGUCAAUGAAGAACUCACUUGUCCUAGCUUUCUUUGCACUUUGUUUGCUCAUGAUCUCCAAAACAGUAGUGGUAAGUAGGCAACUUGAGGAUAAACCACUGCCAUUCUCUCUCCAAGCGACUGACAAAGGGAAUGAAUACAUUAACAUUGACGGAAUUGCCUCUAGUUCCAAUGUUGUUGGUAAAACAGGAAACGAGGAGAGAAAGCUAGGAGAAACCAAAGCAAUUGGUGAUCUAUCAAUUGACAAAAACAGUUCCAAUGAUGCAGACAAUUUGGCCACACAAAUGAACACUCACAU
Long non-coding RNA from Zingiber officinale, 344 nucleotides. RefSeq lists it as uncharacterized. The record is from RefSeq and is a predicted model, not a curated record. Lineage: Eukaryota; Viridiplantae; Streptophyta; Magnoliopsida; Zingiberales; Zingiberaceae. The transcript has 2 exons.